AUUCUGCCCAUGCGGGGAAGGAUGAGAAGCUUCGACCAAGGUUCGACUCGAGCGCCAGCGAGAGAGCGUUGCCGCAGGCAACGACCCGAAGGGCGAAGCGCGCAGCGCUGAGUAAUCUCCCACACAUCAC
This 130-nucleotide small RNA is filed under the name Escherichia coli. RNAcentral describes it as "RtT sRNA". It matches the Rfam family "RtT RNA". From Rfam's summary of the family: This family represents a bacterial cis-regulatory element known as RtT RNA. Lineage: Bacteria; Pseudomonadati; Pseudomonadota; Gammaproteobacteria; Enterobacterales; Enterobacteriaceae. The record is from RNAcentral.